Molecule: long non-coding RNA, 3086 nt
Filed under: Sus scrofa (pig)
Lineage: Eukaryota; Metazoa; Chordata; Mammalia; Artiodactyla; Suidae
Description: lncRNA (ENSSSCG00025018643.1)
Source: RNAcentral
GGACUCAUUUCUCAACGUGGAAUUUCUGAGUCAGGGGUAAAUGGAUUUGCAAUUUUGGUAAAUAUUGCUAAAAUAGCCUUCAUAGAAGUUGUAUCCUUAUAAAUCCUACAAUGUAUGAGACAGUAUAUGAGAGAAUCUCUUUUCCCAAAGCUUCAAUAACAAUGCAGUGUAAACUUUUGGAAUUUUGCCAAUUUUUGGUAGGUGAGAAAUGGAGUCUCAUCAUAAUUUUAAUUCACAUCUUUCUUACUAGAGGAGGUAUGCAUCUUUUCAUAUAUUUAAGGGUCAUUUCUGGAAAAAAUUUAAGAGGACACAAUGAUCACAAAUAAAAUUACCUUCUCAUUGCAUCCCUUGAAUCUUGCUUGUUGAAUUUAGUGUUUAUAAUUUUAGUUGGGGAAGCUGUCACUGGAAGCUGGAAUUUGUUGCUGCUUCAUGGUAGAAUACAAAGCAGGAGAGCCAAAUGAAGAGAUGCUGUAUGAGAAACUUUCCAUUUUUUAUUUUAUUUUUUUGGUUGUACCCACAGCAUGCAAAAGUUCCUGGGCCAGGGAUCAAACCCCAGCCACAGCAGUGAUGAUGCCAAAUCCUUAACCGAUAGGCCACCAGGGAACUCCCAGGAAAAACAACUUUUUUUUUUUUUAACACCAAAUGAAUAUUGUCGAAUGCGUGAGAGUGCUGCAGGACUUGAUGGAUGGUGUUUCUCAGUUUCUCCCAUUAAAAAAAAAAAAAAUCACUUUGCGGGAUGGUCCAGACUUCUUCUUUUUUUUUUUUUUUUGGUCUUUUUGCUAUUUCUUUGGGCCACUCCUGCGGCAUAUGGAGGUUCCCAGGCUAGGGGUUGAAUCUGAGCUGUAGCCACCGGCCUAUGCCAGAGCCACAGCAACGCGGGAUCCGAGCCACGUCUGCAACCUACACCACAGCUCACAGCAACGCCAGAUCCUCAACCCACUGAGCAAGGCCAGGGACCGAACCCGCAACCUCAUGGUUCCUAGUCGGAUUCGUUAACCACUACGCCAUGACGGGAACUCCUUCUAGGACUUCUGAGUUAUGUGGCUUACUGUAUAGCCAGGAUUGUAGCUACUCUCCUACUUUUCUGGUGGCUUUUUUUUUUUUUUUUUCCCCAUGCCUGCAGCAUGUGGAAGUUCCUGGGCUGGGGAUUGAAUCUGUGCCACAGCAGUGACCCAAACUUCUUCAGUGACACAGCCAGAUCCUUAAUCUGCUACACCACAAGGGAGCUCCUUUUUCUGGCGUUUUGAAAGUGUGUGUGAGUCCUAUUUUAUUUUAUUUUAUUUUAUUUUAUUUUGGUUUUUAGGGCCUCAUGUGUAGCAUAUACCCACUCUAGGGGUUAGCUCAGAGCGGGGCAGCUGCCAGCCUACACCACAGCCACAGCAACACGGGAUCUGAACCGAGUCUGAGAGCUGUACCACAGCUUGGGGCAAACUAGCUGGAUCCUUAACCCACUGAGCGAGCCUAGGGAUCAAACCUAAAUCCUCACUGAUACUAGUCUGGUUUGUUACUGCUGAGCCACAGUAAUGAACCAGACUAGUAUCCUAUUUUAAAUAAUAAACAUUGUAAAGGUUAAGUAAUUUAGUUUGCUUACUUUUCUGAUAGCAUGAAUGUCCCACAAGAGCUUGCUUAAUAAGAAUCUUAAAUAAGAUGGGCUUUGGGGGAGCACCAGGCAAAUGAGAGGGUGAAGGGGGCUGGACCAGAAGCACAGGGGACCCACACUCAGCACUUUUCCCAUGGGGGGCUCUGACCAGGAUCCAAGUCUGUAUAACCAAGGGUGGUGCAGAAUGAUAGACUAGGAGCCACUCCCCAGGAGACAAACUGGGUCCUAAUCAAGGAACAUUCUCUCCCAUGGGAGUGGAAGGUCCUGGCAACACUGCCCAGCAGAAUUCCAAGACUGCUGCCAACAAGUAACUGGCAUGUGUCUCCCAUUCUUCUAUAUAACAAGACUCUGUUGUAGUUAGCCUUUCUCUUUCUCACCAUUGCAUGUUGGGUGUCUGUGUGGCAAGUGAUUUUAGUUCAUGUCUCGAGCAGUCACACCAAAGGAGUUGUACCAGAUCUGGUACUGAGCACAAAAACUGGACUUUGAGCCAGAUGCUGUAAUUGGACAAAACUUAGCCAGAUCACAAAGCACCACAUAUUAUAUGCUUCCAUUUUUGUGAAAUGUCCAGAAGAGACAAAUCUGUACAUGGAAAAUAGAUCAGUGGAUACCUGGGACUAGAGAUUGGAGCAGGGUAAUGGGUACAAGGCUUUUUAAGGGGUGAUGAAAAUAUUCUGAAAUUGAUUGUGGUGAUGACUGCACAAAUCUGUGAAUGCAUUAAAAAGCUUUGAAUUGUAUAUUUUAUUUAUUUAUUUAUUUAGCUGCACCUGCGGCGCAUGGAAGUUCCCAGGCUAGGGACUGAAUUGGAGCUACAGUUGCCAGCCUACACCACACCACAGCAACUCAGGAUCUGAGCUGUGUCUGUAACCUGCAACACAGCUCACAGCAAUGCUGGAACCCUAACACACUGUGCGAGGCCAGGGAUUGAACCUGCAUCCUUGUGGAUACUAGUCAGGUUUGUUACCACUGAGCCACAACAGGAACUCCAAAUUGUACACGUUAAAUAGGUAUGUAGGAUGGUGUGUGAAUUAGAAUUCAAUAAAGCUGUUAUUAGAAAAACCUUCAGACUAGCUAAUAGUUGGGAGAAAAUAUAUAUAAAACAUUUGUCUAAUAAAGGAUUUCUAUAGCGUAUAAAAAUUAGGUUUAUUAUACAUUCAUUAAAAUGUUACUUUUAUCGUCCUUGGUAUCCCUCUUUAUCUUCAGUAAUAUCUUUUGCCUUAAAGCCUGCUUGUUAUAUCUCAAAAUAAAAAGAAGGAAAAAGGAGUUCCCCUCGUAGCUCAGCGGAAAAGAAUCUGACUAGGAACCAUGAGGUUGCGGGUUUGAUCCCUGGCCUUGCUCAGUGGGUUAAGGAUCUGGCGUUGCCGUGAGUGGUGGUGUAGGUCACUGAUGUGGCUUGGAUCCCGUAUUGCUGUGGCUGUGGCGUAAGCUGGCAGUGGUAGCUCUGAUUAGACCCUAGCCUGGGAACUUCCAUUUUCUGUGGGUGUGGCCC